AUGAGCUGCUUGCCGUGUUUCGGGAAGAAGAAGGAUGGCAACGCCGAGGGAGGGGGCGGCGAGCAGGCGGGGGCGGGGCCCAUGACGCCGCCUCCCGCCGUGCACGCGCCCGCGUCCUACCACGGCCCGGCUGCUGCCGCGCCCGUCUCCGUGGCAGCUCCGGCGAGCGUGACGCCGACCAAGCCGCCCGGCGAGAGCGACGCCAACCCGGAGGACGCGCUGCGGCAGGCCAUCGAGGUGAAGGCGUUCGCGUUCCGGGAGCUCGCGGCGGCCACCGAUCACUUCACGCCGUACAACCUCGUCGGAGAAGGAGGCUUCUUCAGGGUGUACAAGGGCCAGCUAGAGAAGGAAGGGCAGGCCGUGGCCAUCAAGCAGAUGGACAAGCAUGGCUUCCAAGGCAACAUCGAGUUCCUGACCGAGGUCUCCAAGCUCAGCAAGCUUCACCACGAGAACCUCAUCGACAUCAUCGGCUACUGCGCCGACGGCGACCAGCGGCUCCUCGUCUACGAGCACAUGGACGGCGGCACCUUGGAAGACCACCUCUACGACUUGCCGCCGGAGAAGAAGCCUAUGGACUGGAUGACAAGGAUGAAGGUGGCCAACGGCGCCGCUCAGGGGCUCGAGUACCUGCACGAGAAAGCGGACCCGCCGGUGGUGUAUGGCGACUUCAAGGCCUCCCAAGUCCUGCUCGACUCCAGCUUCACGCCCAAGCUCUCCGACUUCGGCCUCCAGCAGCUCGGCCAGUCCGGCGGUGGCAACAUGCCGAUGGCGUCGCCGAUGAUGGGUGCCUUCGGGUGCCUCGCGCCGGAGUACGACCGCGGCGGCCAGGUCAGCAUGAAGUCCGACGUGUACAGCUUCGGGGUGGUGCUGCUGCAGCUCAUCUCCGGCAGGCGGACCGUCGACACCAGCAAGCCCGUCGAGGAGCAGAACGUCGUCACCUGGGUACGUAAUUCACCACCGCAUCCAUCACCACGGCCAUCGAUCGGCGUCGACAAUUUUUUGCUAAUUAAGGUUGUGCGAUCCGCGGUGCGGUCGUUGCAGGCACAACCGAAGUUCAAAGACCAGAAGAAAUAUCACGAGCUGGUGGACCCGCUUAUCAAGAGGGAGUACCCGGCCAAAGCGUUGAACCAAGUGGUGGCCAUGGCUUCCAUGUGCUUGCAAGAAGAGGACUGCGUGCGGCCAAUGAUGGGCGACGUCGUCAUGACGCUAGGCUUCCUCAUGAUGCUGCCGCCGGAUCCGCCCGCCCCAGAGCCAGAGCCAGCCCCCGCCCCCGCCCCCGCCCCCGAGCCAGUCCCCGAGCCGGCACCCAAAAAGGAUGACGAAUCGCGUCGCUCUGGAAGCUCGUCGUCCUCUUCGGAUGACGACGGCGGCGAGGAGGAAGAAGAAGAAGAGCAAAGUUAA
RNAcentral lists this ribosomal RNA (1401 nucleotides) under Triticum aestivum (bread wheat). RNAcentral's name for it is "partial small subunit ribosomal RNA". The record is from RNAcentral. Lineage: Eukaryota; Viridiplantae; Streptophyta; Magnoliopsida; Poales; Poaceae.